GCACGCUUAGCUCAGCGGUAGAGCACUGCCUUCACACGGCAGUUGUCGCAGGUUCGAACCCUGCAGCGUGCACCA
This 75-nucleotide transfer RNA is filed under the name Pedosphaera sp. RNAcentral describes it as "tRNA-Val". It matches the Rfam family "tRNA". Rfam says of the family: Transfer RNA (tRNA) molecules are approximately 80 nucleotides in length. Their secondary structure includes four short double-helical elements and three loops (D, anti-codon, and T loops). RNAcentral also lists the same sequence under 4 other names. The record is from RNAcentral. Lineage: Bacteria; Pseudomonadati; Verrucomicrobiota; Pedosphaerae; Pedosphaerales; Pedosphaeraceae.